AGAAUCAACGCUGGCGGCGUGCCUAACACAUGCAAGUCGAACGCGAAAGUCCCGAAAGGGAUAAGUAGAGUGGCAAACGGGUGAGUAACACGUGGGUGACCUGCCUUCGAGCGGGGGAUAACGUCCCGAAAGGGACGCUAAUACCGCAUAACAUCCUGCCUUUUAAGAGGUGGAGAUCAAAGCCGGGGACCGCAAGGCCUGGCACUUGAAGAGGGGCCCGCGUCUGAUUAGCUAGUUGGUGGGUAAUGGCCUACCAAGGCAACGAUCAGUA
RNAcentral lists this ribosomal RNA (271 nucleotides) under uncultured bacterium. RNAcentral describes it as "partial small subunit ribosomal RNA". It matches the Rfam family "Bacterial small subunit ribosomal RNA", at positions 26 to 285 of the family's 1533-position model. The record is from RNAcentral.